Molecule: long non-coding RNA, 482 nt
Filed under: Homo sapiens (human)
Lineage: Eukaryota; Metazoa; Chordata; Mammalia; Primates; Hominidae
Description: non-protein coding lnc-PSMA2-1:15
Source: RNAcentral
AGCCACUUAGUCCCUCAAGAUGCAAGGUUUGCUAAGUGUUUUGAGGUUGCAAACUGACUUCUGGGUUUUGAGAACUAUUUGACUUUCUGGCUUCACAACUGGUAAGACCUGGGGACGUAAGGAACUAACCGCGUCCUUAACUAAGAGGGCAAAGCUUAGCUGCAGUUAGCACACAAUUAAAGCAACUUACCAAGUUUUACCUUAAAGUUAAAAAUAGCUAGGAGUUAAUUGAAACUACUAGAAAUAGAUUUGCAUGCAAGGUGUGUAAGAACAGUAAAAUGUAUUUUUUAGUAAAAGGUUAUAAGAAGGCAUGGAAAUGUAAACUUUUGCCUAAAGUUUUUAAGGAUUAAAGGAUUAAAGGAUUUUUUGAGUUAAAUCAGGAAAAAGCUGAAGGUUCAAAGAAGGGGUAGAAGAAUUACGGAAAUCAAUCUUGCAGAAGAGGUUCUGUGUGUGAACGUAUUGACUAAAUUCAAAAAAGGGUA